Molecule: long non-coding RNA, 806 nt
Filed under: Sinocyclocheilus grahami
Lineage: Eukaryota; Metazoa; Chordata; Actinopteri; Cypriniformes; Cyprinidae
Description: lncRNA (ENSSGRG00000037142.1)
Source: RNAcentral
CAAACUACAAUGUGCACACUCAGCUGGACUAAGAUGAAGGUCUCAGGUGCUCACUCCUGGCUUCUCUUAUUGUUCCUGGUCCAAAGUGACAGAAGCCAGGUUUCAGGCCAGUGUUCAGUACCCACAGCACUCGUCUGCUGUCCUGGAAAGAAUAGCCAAUGCAUAAGUGGAGGGUGUUUUUGUGAUGAGUUCUGCAUCAUAAACAGGGACUGCUGUGCUGACUACAAUCAGACAUGCAUUCAGCCCUUAAUAUCAACCUCACCACCAUCUUCAUCCUCCCUACCUACAACCAACCAAUCACCAACAUCCUCACCAACCUCACAUCCAUCUUCAUCAAUCUUACCAACAUCCAACCGAUCAUCAUCACCAACCUCAGAACCACCUUCUUCUUCAUCCCCACCACCAACCUCUGCAUCCUUAUCAACAUCCCAGCAGAGAAAAAACAUCAGUGCAAUCACAGUCCUCCACAUGCGUGUUCACUCAGGAGCCAGUGAAGAGGCAAUGCUGAAGGCUGUGUGGGAUUUCAUUCUCCACCUCGAGGGCUUGAUGAGGAGACAGCAAUGUGAAGACUGCAGUCUACGAGUGCUAAACAUCAGCCAGAAAUAUCACUGAUAACAUCAAGUCAAAUAUAUGUUUUUCAGUAGUUAAUCAUUAUUACCUGACCUUCCUCCACGUGUUUGUUUGAGACUCCUGGUGGGUAAAUGGUGUCACUAGAUGGCGCUAGAGGACCAAACCUGUAAUGGAAAUCAGAGAGGAUUGUCUAAUCACUGUCUAACCUUAAUUUAAAUUUUAAUACAGAGCUGCAA